GAUUUCUGGUUGGGUUGCGGGCGUGUGCUGGGUGGGUUCAGCUCGUCUGUCUCGUCCAUGUCACCGUCUCUCCGACCAUCCUUGUGUGGGUUGGUGUUGUGUGUGCGCCGUCCUUCGCUGGUCGGCGCGCGCGCCGCACCAACUGUUACCCGCACAUCGUUUACUUUGAACAAAUUAGAGUGUUUCAAGCAGGCAGUACGUUUGCUCUGAAUACAUUAGCAUGGAAUAAUGAGGUAGGACUUUCGGUUCCGACAGUUGCCCAAGUUGUGGCUCGCUCGUUGGUUUCACCGUGUUCACGAACCGAAGUAAUGAUUGAUAGGGUCAGUUGGGGGUGCUCGUAUUCCGCGGCCAGAGGUGAAAUUCUUGGAUUCGCGGAGGACGAACUUAUGCGAAAGCAUU
RNAcentral lists this ribosomal RNA (399 nucleotides) under uncultured Sandona. RNAcentral describes it as "bacterial SSU rRNA". The stretch from base 156 to 399 matches the Rfam family "Eukaryotic small subunit ribosomal RNA", at positions 747 to 955 of the family's 1831-position model. Lineage: Eukaryota; Cercozoa; Glissomonadida. The record is from RNAcentral.